RNAcentral lists this unclassified non-coding RNA (380 nucleotides) under Hevea brasiliensis (rubber tree). Lineage: Eukaryota; Viridiplantae; Streptophyta; Magnoliopsida; Malpighiales; Euphorbiaceae. The record is from RNAcentral.
AGUUGGAAUAGUGAGAAUCACUCAGAUAGUAGCAUUAUGGACACCUUUAUUUUGUUCAUGUGUCAAAAAUUGCAGUUUCAUGCGUUGAAUAUUUUUAUAGAAAAAAUAAGCCCUGUUGGUGCUGACCAACACAAAGUAGUUGAGUACUGAGUAAUUAUGAUGCUGAAAUGCAACUCAGCAAAAUGAGGAUCCUAAUUAAUGAAAACUAAAUACGGUUGUAUUCCUAUGAAAUGUUCUGGUUUACUAGAGAUGUUAAUGCUACCAUCAAUAAAUAGUGCCUAGAGGAGAACUGGGAAAAAUAGUUUUUCCCUCCAUAUCUUAAGUAAAUGCUUCUAAUCAGUGUCUCACUAACAGGUUAAAAGGACUAAUUGAUGAAUGUA